UACGUAGGGGCGAGCGUUAUCCGGAAUUAUUGGGCGUAAAGGGUUCGCAGGCGGCCUUGUAAGUCAGAUGUGAAAGACAGCGGCUUAACCGUUGUAAGCAUUUGAAACUGCAGGGCUUGAGUACAGGAGAGGAAAGCGGAAUUCCUAGUGUAGCGGUGAAAUGCGUAGAUAUUAGGAGGAACACCAGUUGCGAAGGCGGCUCUCUGGACUGUAACUGACACUGAGGCACGAAAGCGUGGGGAGCAAACAGGAUUAGAUACCCUGGUAGU
This 269-nucleotide ribosomal RNA is filed under the name uncultured prokaryote. Its description in RNAcentral is "partial 16S ribosomal RNA". It matches the Rfam family "Bacterial small subunit ribosomal RNA", at positions 524 to 794 of the family's 1533-position model. The record is from RNAcentral.